RNAcentral lists this ribosomal RNA (465 nucleotides) under uncultured bacterium. RNAcentral's name for it is "partial 16S ribosomal RNA". It matches the Rfam family "Bacterial small subunit ribosomal RNA", at positions 29 to 507 of the family's 1533-position model. The record is from RNAcentral.
AUGAACGCUGGCGGCGUGCUUAACACAUGCAAGUCGAACGGAAAGGCUCCUGCUUGCAGGGGUACUCGAGUGGCGAACGGGUGAGUAACACGUGGGUGAUCUGCCCUGCACUUCGGGAUAAGCCUGGGAAACUGGGUCUAAUACCGGAUAGGACCAUCGUUUAGUGUCGGUGGUGGAAAGUUUUUUCGGUGUGGGAUGAGCUCGCGGCCUAUCAGCUUGUUGGUGGGGUAAUGGCCUACCAAGGCGUCGACGGGUAGCCGGCCUGAGAGGGUGUACGGCCACAUUGGGACUGAGAUACGGCCCAGACUCCUACGGGAGGCAGCAGUGGGGAAUAUUGCACAAUGGGCGCAAGCCUGAUGCAGCGACGCCGCGUGGGGGAUGACGGCCUUCGGGUUGUAAACUCCUUUCGCCAGGGACGAAGCGAAAGUGACGGUACCUGGAUAAGAAGCACCGGCUAACUACGUG